AAUAUUGGAAUAUGGGCGAAAGCCUGACCCAGUCAUGCCGUGAGUUUGAAUGAGGUCUUCGGAUUGUAAAGCAAUUUAAUUUGGGAGGAAGGGCAGUAAGUUAAUAUCUUGAUGUUUUGACUAAACCGACAGAAUAAGCACCGGCUACCUUCGUGCUAUCAGCCGCGGUAAUACGAAGGGUGCAAAGUUUAAUCGGAAUUACUUGGCGUAAAGCGCUCGUAGGUGGUUUGUUAAGUUGGAAGUGAAAGCCCCGGGCUCAACCUGGGAACUGCUUUCAAAACUGGCAAGCUGGAGUAUGGCAGAGGAUGGUGGAAUUUCCUAUGUCGCAGUGGAAUGCGUCGAUAUAGGAAGGAACACCAGUGGCGAAGGAGACCACCUGCUCUAAUACUGACACUGAAGUGCGAAAGCGUGGGGAGCAAACA
This 422-nucleotide ribosomal RNA is filed under the name uncultured bacterium. RNAcentral's name for it is "partial 16S ribosomal RNA". It matches the Rfam family "Bacterial small subunit ribosomal RNA", at positions 360 to 774 of the family's 1533-position model. The record is from RNAcentral.